Molecule: microRNA precursor, 76 nt
Filed under: Myotis myotis
Lineage: Eukaryota; Metazoa; Chordata; Mammalia; Chiroptera; Vespertilionidae
Also listed under: 1 other name
Description: mir-9229 microRNA precursor family
Rfam family: mir-9229 microRNA precursor family
Source: Rfam by way of RNAcentral
GAGAUACCCUUAUGGGGCAGGACUUGCUUCAGUGGGGCUUUGGUGCUCACUGAGUCUGCCCCUUGAGAGUGUCACU